This 902-nucleotide ribosomal RNA is filed under the name uncultured crenarchaeote. RNAcentral describes it as "bacterial SSU rRNA". It matches the Rfam family "Archaeal small subunit ribosomal RNA", at positions 25 to 913 of the family's 1478-position model. Lineage: Archaea; Thermoproteati; Thermoproteota. The record is from RNAcentral.
GACUGCUAUUUGGGUGAGGAUAAGCCAUGCGAGUUGUAUGGGAUCCCUAAACUUCCCAUAGCAAACUGCUCAGUAACACAUGAUCAACUUGCCCUAUGGAGAGCACUAACCUCGGGAAACUGAGGAUAAUGGCUCAUACUUGAUUAGGCUUGGAAAAGUUUUUCAAUGAAAGGCGUAAGAAAAAUGGUUCUUAUGCGCCAUAGGAUAGGAUCGUGCUCGAUUAUGGUAGUUGGUGAGGUAACGGCUCACCAAGCCGAUAAUCGAUAGGGGCCGUGAGAGCGGUUGCCCCGAGAUGGGUACUGAGACAGCGACCCAGGCCUUACGAGGCGCAGCAGGCGCGAGACCUCCGCAAUACACGCAAGUGUGACGGGGUUACCCAAAGUGUCCUUAUUGGACUGUGGCGGGUGAGUAAUGUUCCCCGCUAGAAAGGAGAGGGCAAGGCUGGUGCCAGCCGCCGCGGUAAAACCAGCUCUUCAAGUGGUCGGGAUAAUUAUUGGGCUUAAAGUGUCCGUAGCCGGUUUAGUAAGUUCCUGGUAAAACCGGGCAGCUUAACUGUCCGUAUGCUAGGAAUACUGCUAUGCUAGAGGGCGGGAGAGGUCUGAGGUACUACAGGGGUAGGGGUGAAAUCUUAUAAUCCUUGUAGGACCACCAGUGGCGAAAGCGUCAGACUGGAACGCGCCUGACGGUGAGGGACGAAAGCCAGGGGAGCGAACCGGAUUAGAUACCCGGGUAGUCCUGGCCGUAAACGAUGCAUACUAGGCAAUGGUGCGGCCAUGAGCCGCAUCAGUACCGUAGGGAAACCGUUAAGUGUGCCGCCUGGGAAGUACGGUCGCAAGGCUAAAACUUAAAGGAAUUGGCGGGGGAGCACCACAAGGGGUGAAGCCUGCGGUUCAAUUGGAUUC